RNAcentral lists this ribosomal RNA (497 nucleotides) under uncultured bacterium. RNAcentral's name for it is "partial 16S ribosomal RNA". It matches the Rfam family "Bacterial small subunit ribosomal RNA", at positions 28 to 507 of the family's 1533-position model. The record is from RNAcentral.
GAUGAACGCUGGCGGCGUGCCUAAUACAUGCAAGUCGAGCGAACAGACGAGGAGCUUGCUCCUCUGACGUUAGCGGCGGAGGGGUGAGUAACACGUGGAUAACCUUCCUAUAAGACUGGGAUAACUUCGGGAAACCGGAGCUAAUCCCGUAUAAUAUAUUGAACCGCAUGGUUCAAUAGUGAAAGACGGUUUUGCUGUCACUUAUAGAUGGAUCCGCGCCGCAUUAGCUAGUUGGUACGUUAACGGCUUACCAAGGCAACGAUGCGUAGCCGACGGGAGAGGGUGAUCGGCCACACGGGAACGGAGACGCGGACCAGACUCCUACGGGAGGCAGCAGUAGGGAAUCGUCCGCAAUGGGCGAAAGCCUGACGGAGCAACGGCGCGUGAGUGAUGAAGGCCUUCGGAUCGGAAAACUCUGUUUUUAGGUAAGAACAAAUGUGUAAGGAGCUAUGCACGUCUUGACGGUACCUAAUCAGGAAGCCACGGCUAACUACGUG